This 79-nucleotide small RNA is filed under the name Flavobacterium sp. KMS. RNAcentral describes it as "Flavo-1 RNA". It matches the Rfam family "Flavo-1 RNA". The record is from Rfam by way of RNAcentral. Lineage: Bacteria; Pseudomonadati; Bacteroidota; Flavobacteriia; Flavobacteriales; Flavobacteriaceae.
UUUUUGCAUGAGGGAUAGUAGCGGCAUCCUUUUGUGUAAUGAAAUGGAACAAAAGAUAUAGCGAAUAGCCCGACCCGAA